This 385-nucleotide long non-coding RNA is filed under the name Brassica napus (rape). RNAcentral describes it as "long non-coding RNA (BNAP_LNC001444)". The record is from RNAcentral. Lineage: Eukaryota; Viridiplantae; Streptophyta; Magnoliopsida; Brassicales; Brassicaceae.
CUUAUUUCUUGAAUCUUAAGUUCUUACAACUUCAUAACAUUGCUUUAUAUAGAGAAAGCUAAAACCCUAGUGUUCCUUCCACAUGUCUUCAUCCGCAUUCUUGGAACGAUCCAAGGGCUGCAAACGAGUUGUGAAGUUCAGGACCACAACGCUCCUCCGUACAUGACGUCAUAAUCUGCUUUCCUCUUCUCUUCUCUUCUCUGGCUCUGUUCUUGUCGUCGAGCGUUGUGUCCGUUGAAGGAGAUUGCUGACGUGGAGCAACUUGAGCUGAACUGGGCUUGUUGAGUUGGGCUGGAAUCAGUUUGGGCUGAGAAUCGUUGUUGUUCAAAACUGCAACGUUUUGAGCUCCAGCUUGAACUGAGGCUGCUGCGCUAAUACCCCCUCU